RNAcentral lists this ribosomal RNA (884 nucleotides) under Aspergillus amstelodami. RNAcentral's name for it is "LSU rRNA". It matches the Rfam family "Eukaryotic large subunit ribosomal RNA", at positions 51 to 950 of the family's 3401-position model. The record is from RNAcentral. Lineage: Eukaryota; Fungi; Ascomycota; Eurotiomycetes; Eurotiales; Aspergillaceae.
CGGAGGAAAAGAAACCAACCGGGAUUGCCUCAGUAACGGCGAGUGAAGCGGCAAGAGCUCAAAUUUGAAAUCUGGCCCCUCCGGGGUCCGAGUUGUAAUUUGUAGAGGAUGCUUCGGGUGCGGCCCCCGUCUAAGUGCUCUGGAACGGGCCAUCGGAGAGGGUGAGAAUCCCGUCUGGGACGGGGUGUCCGCGUCCAUGUGAAGCUCCUUCGACGAGUCGAGUUGUUUGGGAAUGCAGCUCUAAAUGGGUGGUAAAUUUCAUCUAAAGCUAAAUACUGGCCGGAGACCGAUAGCGCACAAGUAGAGUGAUCGAAAGAUGAAAAGCACUUUGAAAAGAGAGUUAAACAGCACGUGAAAUUGUUGAAAGGGAAGCGCUUGCGACCAGACUCGCUUCCGGGGUUCAGCCGGCUUUCGGGCCGGUGUACUUCCCCGGGGGCGGGCCAGCGUCGGUUUGGGCGGCCGGUCAAAGGCCCCUGGAAUGUAACGCCUCUCGGGGCGCCUUAUAGCCAGGGGUGUCAUGCGGCCAGCCUGGACCGAGGAACGCGCUUCGGCACGGACGCUGGCAUAAUGGUCGUAAACGACCCGUCUUGAAACACGGACCAAGGAGUCUAACAUCUACGCGAGUGUUCGGGUGUCAAACCCGUGCGCGCAGUGAAAGCGAACGGAGGUGGGAGCCCCCUCGCGGGGCGCACCAUCGACCGAUCCUGAUGUCUUCGGAUGGAUUUGAGUAAGAGCGUAGCUGUGGGGACCCGAAAGAUGGUGAACUAUGCCUGAAUAGGGCGAAGCCAGAGGAAACUCUGGUGGAGGCUCGCAGCGGUUCUGACGUGCAAAUCGAUCGUCAAAUUUGGGUAUAGGGGCGAAAGACUAAUCGAACCAUCUGGUAG